UACGAAGGGGGCUAGCGUUGUUCGGAAUCACUGGGCGUAAAGCGCACGUAGGCGGUUUGUUAAGUCGGGGGUGAAGUCCUGAGGCUCAACCUCAGAACUGCCUUCGAUACUGGCGAUCUUGAGUCCGGAAGAGGUUGGUGGAACAGCUAGUGUAGAGGUGAAAUUCGUAGAUAUUAGCUAGAACACCAGUGGCGAAGGCGGCCAACUGGUCCGGAACUGACGCUGAGAUGCGAAAGCGUGGGGAGCAAACAGG
RNAcentral lists this ribosomal RNA (253 nucleotides) under uncultured bacterium. Its description in RNAcentral is "partial 16S ribosomal RNA". It matches the Rfam family "Bacterial small subunit ribosomal RNA", at positions 524 to 776 of the family's 1533-position model. The record is from RNAcentral.